GGCCUCGUAGCUCAGUUGGCAAGAGUGUUGGCUGAACUGAAGCCUUCCCCUUGAUGGCGUGGGUUCGAAUCUUACUGAGACCG
Molecule: transfer RNA, 83 nt
Filed under: Schistocephalus solidus
Lineage: Eukaryota; Metazoa; Platyhelminthes; Cestoda; Diphyllobothriidea; Diphyllobothriidae
Rfam family: tRNA
About the family: Transfer RNA (tRNA) molecules are approximately 80 nucleotides in length. Their secondary structure includes four short double-helical elements and three loops (D, anti-codon, and T loops). Further hydrogen bonds mediate the characteristic L-shaped molecular structure. tRNAs have two regions of fundamental functional importance: the anti-codon, which is responsible for specific mRNA codon recognition, and the 3' end, to which the tRNAs corresponding amino acid is attached (by aminoacyl-tRNA synthetases). tRNAs cope with the degeneracy of the genetic code in two manners: having more than one tRNA (with a specific anti-codon) for a particular amino acid; and 'wobble' base-pairing, i.e. permitting non-standard base-pairing at the 3rd anti-codon position.
Source: Rfam by way of RNAcentral